UGUAGGAGUGAGCCUGCUCGCGAUGAGGCCAUAUCAGUCACCAUUUUUUUGACUGGAAGACCGCUAUCGCGAGCAGGCUCGCUCCCACA
RNAcentral lists this non-coding RNA (89 nucleotides) under Pseudomonas sp. GV085. Lineage: Bacteria; Pseudomonadati; Pseudomonadota; Gammaproteobacteria; Pseudomonadales; Pseudomonadaceae. The record is from RNAcentral.